ACUCCUACGGGAGGCAGCAGUAGGGAAUCUUCCACAAUGGGCGCAAGCCUGAUGGAGCAACACCGCGUGAGUGAAGAAGGGUUUCGGCUCGUAAAGCUCUGUUGUUAAAGAAGAACACGUAUGAGAGUAACUGUUCAUACGUUGACGGUAUUUAACCAGAAAGUCACGGCUAACUACGUGCCAGCAGCCGCGGUAAUACGUAGGUGGCAAGCGUUAUCCGGAUUUAUUGGGCGUAAAGAGAGUGCAGGCGGUUUUCUAAGUCUGAUGUGAAAGCCUUCGGCUUAACCGGAGAAGUGCAUCGGAAACUGGAUAACUUGAGUGCAGAAGAGGGUAGUGGAACUCCAUGUGUAGCGGUGGAAUGCGUAGAUAUAUGGAAGAACACCAGUGGCGAAGGCGGCUACCUGGUCUGCAACUGACGCUGAGACUCGAAAGCAUGGGUAGCGAACAGGAUUAGAUACCCCUGGUAGGAUAGCC
Molecule: ribosomal RNA, 474 nt
Filed under: uncultured bacterium
Lineage: Bacteria
Description: bacterial SSU rRNA
Rfam family: Bacterial small subunit ribosomal RNA
Source: RNAcentral